Molecule: ribosomal RNA, 401 nt
Filed under: Histioteuthidae environmental sample cf. Stigmatoteuthis hoylei
Lineage: Eukaryota; Metazoa; Mollusca; Cephalopoda; Oegopsida; Histioteuthidae
Description: partial 16S ribosomal RNA
Source: RNAcentral
UGCGGUAUUUUAACUGUACUAAGCUAUUAUAAUAAUUUGCCUUAUAAUUUGAGGCUAGAAUGAAUGGUUUGACGAAGGUUAAUCUGUCUCUAUUUUAUUUUUUAGAAAUUAAUUUUUAGAGUGAAAAAGCUUGUAUUUUUUAAAGGGACGAGAAGACCCUAUUGAGCUUGUAAUUUUAUUACUAUUGUUAAUAUUAUUUGAGUGGUAUAUAAAUUUUAAUUGGGGUGAUUAAGGAAUAAAAUGAUUUUUAGGAACUUCCUUAUAUUUAAUAUUGUUAGAUAAAGUAACCAAUAUAUUAUUGCUUAUAUUAUAGUUACCAUAGGGAUAACAGCGUAAUUUGUUAGAGAGUUCUUAUUGAAAAACAAGAUUGCGACCUCGAUGUUGGAUUAAAGUAACCUUAA